AUACGGAGGGUGCGAGCGUUAAUCGGAAUUACUGGGCGUAAAGGGCGCGUAGGUGGUUUGGUCAGUCGGAUGUGAAAGCCCCGGGCUUAACUUGGGAAUUGCAUUCGAUACUGCCUCACUAGAGUAUGGUAGAGGGAAGCGGAAUUCCCGGUGUAGCGGUGAAAUGCGUAGAUAUCGGGAGGAACAUCAGUGGCGAAGGCGGCUUCCUGGACCAAUUCUGACACUGAGGCGCGAAAGCGUGGGGAGCAAACAGGAUUAGAUAUCCCAGUAGUCC
RNAcentral lists this ribosomal RNA (274 nucleotides) under uncultured bacterium. RNAcentral's name for it is "partial 16S ribosomal RNA". It matches the Rfam family "Bacterial small subunit ribosomal RNA", at positions 523 to 796 of the family's 1533-position model. The record is from RNAcentral.